UUGGUCGAUGUCAUGUGAUCGGCGUGAUCUGCGCGUACGCGUGAUUGAAGCGCCAUGCAUCACGAACCAAACUACUACGUAGCUGGGAACGCGCACGCGCAUGCACGCCAAACAGUUUUCUGCUACACCUCGUGUUUUUGAAAUGCAGAUUUUCAGCUAGCUGGAUCGCGAUCGGGAGACGACAAAGAAGAAACGAUCUUGUUGUGACUAUACUUUGCGCUUGUCGUCGACAACAGCCUUUGUCAUUGACAUUGUUGUUUGUCUUUUGAGCGUCCACUCUGGCCAACUCCUUUUUUCCUGAACCGGGUUCCACUGCUUCUGGGGUGUUCGUCUCGCAACCAGUAGCACCAACAUAAUCUUCUUUUGAGUAAACAUGUUCAGCCAUCUGCUGCUGUGUCGGGAAGGAUUUGGAGGAGUAUUGCUGGUCGUAUGGACCUGGAGCAGUGGAGGCGAUGUCGUGAAGAAGGUUGCGUUUUGCAAGGAAGGAAGUUAAUAUUUGAACUAGAAGGUGCGGGCUAGUGACCUGAAGCAGUAGCAGAAGAGUACGUUACUACCCGUGAAGCAGAGUGUUUUCCUCGUGACAACCCGUGCGCGGUCUCUGCCUACAGCGGGAUGUCCGCAUAUACGCUGAUGUUCGGUCCUCCACCUUCUUCCACCAUACGAUUAGUAAUAUUACUACAUGUAUUAAUAGGUCGCGGCACAGAGUUAUGUCUUGUCUCAUGUCACCAUCUGUGCAUACGCGGUUCGUGCAUACUCGCGUGCUCGCGCGAAAUGAACAAUGUGAUCCAUAUGUGCAUGCAACCUACCCUUAUUCAUACAUGUACUGAUAGUGUAGUCAGUUCUGUGGUUAGUUUUCUGUUUCGCAAGUGGAAACAAGUUUUAGUUUGUUUUCCUCUGCUCGAAUGAUGUGUUUGUUCUUGCAAUAAGUCCUUCCGAAUAAUACCUUUCUCCUUGUCUGA
This is a long non-coding RNA of Sycon ciliatum, 959 nucleotides long. RefSeq lists it as uncharacterized. NCBI's taxonomy places the organism in Eukaryota, Metazoa, Porifera, Calcarea, Leucosolenida, Sycettidae. The transcript has 2 exons. The record is from RefSeq and is a predicted model, not a curated record.